UACGUAGGGGGCAAGCGUUGUCCGGAAUCAUUGGGCGUAAAGAGCGUGUAGGCGGCCCGAUAAGUCCGCUGUGAAAGUCCAGGGCUCAACCCUGGAAUGCCGGUGGAAACUGUCGGGCUAGAGUCCGGAAGAGGCGAGUGGAAUUCCUGGUGUAGCGGUGAAAUGCGCAGAUAUCAGGAGGAACACCAAUGGCGAAGGCAGCUCGCUGGGACGGUACUGACGCUGAGACGCGAAAGCCAGGGGAGCAAACGGG
Molecule: ribosomal RNA, 253 nt
Filed under: uncultured bacterium
Lineage: Bacteria
Description: partial 16S ribosomal RNA
Rfam family: Bacterial small subunit ribosomal RNA
Source: RNAcentral